Molecule: non-coding RNA, 83 nt
Organism: Podarcis lilfordi (Lilford's wall lizard)
Lineage: Eukaryota; Metazoa; Chordata; Lepidosauria; Squamata; Lacertidae
Source: the annotation of a GenBank genome assembly
GGAGACCCCGAUUUCCCUCAUAGAGCUACCAUUUCCAGAGUACCCUGGAAAGAGGGAAGCUCUGUGAGGGGAAUAGGGGUCUU